UACGAAGGGGGCUAGCGUUGCUCGGAAUCACUGGGCGUAAAGGGUGCGUAGGCGGGUCUUUAAGUCAGGGGUGAAAUCCUGGAGCUCAACUCCAGAACUGCCCUUGAUACUGAGGAUCUUGAGUUCGGGAGAGGUGAGUGGAACUGCGAGUGUAGAGGUGAAAUUCGUAGAUAUUCGCAAGAACACCAGUGGCGAAGGCGGCGACCUGGUCCAUGACUGAC
RNAcentral lists this ribosomal RNA (221 nucleotides) under uncultured bacterium. Its description in RNAcentral is "partial 16S ribosomal RNA". It matches the Rfam family "Bacterial small subunit ribosomal RNA", at positions 524 to 744 of the family's 1533-position model. The record is from RNAcentral.